This 1216-nucleotide ribosomal RNA is filed under the name Cordyceps sp. 20104734a. Its description in RNAcentral is "eukaryotic LSU rRNA". It matches the Rfam family "Eukaryotic large subunit ribosomal RNA", at positions 85 to 1335 of the family's 3401-position model. Lineage: Eukaryota; Fungi; Ascomycota; Sordariomycetes; Hypocreales; Cordycipitaceae. The record is from RNAcentral.
AGGGCCGAAGGAAGGGGGCAAAGCUUCAAUUUGAAUCUGGCCCUCGGGUCCGAGUUGUAAUUUGUAGAGGAUGCUUUUGGCGAGGUGCCUUCCGAGUUCCCUGGAACGGGACGCCAUAGAGGGUGAGAGCCCCGUCUGGUCGGACACCGAGCCUCUGUAAAGCUCCUUCGACGAGUCGAGUAGUUUGGGAAUGCUGCUCAAAAUGGGAGGUAUAUGUCUUCUAAAGCUAAAUAUUGGCCAGAGACCGAUAGCGCACAAGUAGAGUGAUCGAAAGAUGAAAAGCACUUUGAAAAGAGGGUUAAAAAGUACGUGAAAUUGUUGAAAGGGAAGCGCUUAUGACCAGACUUGCGCCCGGUGAAUCAUCCAGCGUUCUCGCUGGUGCACUUUGCCGGGCACAGGCCAGCAUCAGUUUGGCGCGGGGGAAAAAGGCUUCGGGAAUGUGGCUCCCUCGGGAGUGUUAUAGCCCGCUGCGUAAUACCCUGCGCCGGACUGAGGUACGCGCAUUGCAAGGAUGCUGGCGUAAUGGUCAUCAGCGACCCGUCUUGAAACACGGACCAAGGAGUCGUCUUCGUAUGCGAGUGUUCGGGUGUCAAACCCCUACGCGUAAUGAAAGUGAACGCAGGUGAGAGCUUCGGCGCAUCAUCGACCGAUCCUGAUGUUCUCGGAUGGAUUUGAGUAAGAGCAUACGGGGCCGGACCCGAAAGAAGGUGAACUAUGCCUGUAUAGGGUGAAGCCAGAGGAAACUCUGGUGGAGGCUCGCAGCGGUUCUGACGUGCGAAUCGAUCGUCAAAUAUGGGCAUGGGGGCGAAAGACUAAUCGAACCUUCUAGUAGCUGGUUUCCGCCGAAGUUUCCCUCAGGAUAGCAGUGUUGAACUCAGUUUUAUGAGGUAAAGCGAAUGAUUAGGGACUCGGGGGCGCUAUAUUGCCUUCAUCCAUUCUCAAACUUUAAAUAUGUAAGAAGCCCUUGUUACUUAAUUGAACGUGGGCAUUCGAAUGUAUCAACACUAGUGGGCCAUUUUUGGUAAGCAGAACUGGCGAUGCGGGAUGAACCGAACGCGAGGUUAAGGUGCCGGAGUGGACGCUCAUCAGACACCACAAAAGGUGUUAGUACAUCUUGACAGCAGGACGGUGGCCAUGGAAGUCGGAAUCCGCUAAGGACUGUGUAACAACUCACCUGCCGAAUGUACUAGCCCUGAAAAUGGAUGGCGCUCAAGCG